AAUACGUUCCCGGGCCUUGUACACACCGCCCGUCAAGCCAUGAAGUCAGGAGACCUGAAGGCCGUCACCGUCAAAGGAGCGGCUUAGGGUAAACUGGUAACUGGGGCU
RNAcentral lists this ribosomal RNA (108 nucleotides) under uncultured bacterium. Its description in RNAcentral is "partial 16S ribosomal RNA". It matches the Rfam family "Bacterial small subunit ribosomal RNA", at positions 1365 to 1482 of the family's 1533-position model. The record is from RNAcentral.